Molecule: long non-coding RNA, 2593 nt
Filed under: Panax ginseng (ginseng)
Lineage: Eukaryota; Viridiplantae; Streptophyta; Magnoliopsida; Apiales; Araliaceae
Description: long non-coding RNA (PGIN_LNC017660)
Source: RNAcentral
AUAAGAGCAAGAUGGAGCCUAAAGCCAACGGAAGAACCCGAGAGACAAGCGGAACAGCAGGACACAUUCUCCGGCCAGAACCAAAUGGUAUGUACUCGAAAUGGUGCCCUUUAUAAUCCACCAUGUUUGGCUCCAAAAACCUCUCUGGCUUAAACUGUGACGGGUUUGUCCACGUGCUGGGGUCACGCCCAAUUGCCCACACAUUUACUAGAAUUUGUGUUUCUUUAGGAAUAUUGUAGCCUAGCAUAUUGCAAGAGUCCAUGGCCAUAUGUGGGACUAGGAAAGGAAGUGGUGGGUGAAGCCUCAAAGUUUCUUUGAUCACUGCAUUGAGGUAUGGGAGAUUAUCAAAAUCUCUCUCUUUGAGUUUCAUAUUUGGACGGACGACACUUCUAAGCUCCAUCUGAACUUUUUGUAGGGCUUUCGGGUUGUGGAGGAGCUCAGCCAUUGCCCACUCUAAUGUGCUUGUGGUCGUAUCAGUUCCAGCAGUAAACAUCUCCUGAGGUCAUAAAAGUUCUAUCAGUUGAGUAGAAAGUACUAUAUAUUUGAGAUUAUAGGAAGUACUAUUUGAAAUUAAACUAUUGAAUGAGAAUUUCGACAGUGUUUUUGUACGUGAUUAAUGUACAAGCAACAAAUCAAGCACAAAAAUUAAGAGAGGGUACUUACAAACACAAUUAUAUUGAUUGUGGUGGAAGAGAAUUGAGGAGGUCCUUCAAUACCAUCACCACGAUACUCCAAAAGAACAUCCAAGUAGUCCUUUCGGCUCUUCUCUUUUCCAUGAAAUAAUUCAUUAUUCUCCUCCAACCUCUCUUUCAAAAACCCUCCGGCAAUAUCAAAUGCUCUGUUCACAUGAAACUGUGUCUUUCUCCUAAUUCCUUGUGGAUCAAGCCAUUUUAACAAGGGCAAGAAAUCCGCAACAUUAGGCUUCCCAGCAAACUCCAUCACUUUCCCUGCAUGGUAAAAGAACUUGGCCCCUUUCUCCGAUUUCGGAUCCAAAAGAUCCCUCGAAAACAUUAUAUUACCAACCAAAUUAAAAGUCAUCAAGAAAAAGAACCUUCUAAUGUCAACGGCCUUGGUGCCCGAACCUCCAGCAUCUUCAAUGAAUUGCACCAUGCGGUCGAUACACCGGCUACGUACUUCAUGCAUGGAAUCAAGACGGGUAGUCGUGAAGAAUUCCGUUGUGCUUAAUCUCCUUAGCAUGCGCCAGUGCGGACCAUAUUGAGCCGUUAUGAGCGAGCCUUCGUUGCCAAAAUUCCCUUUCAUGGACUCGUAUAUUUUUCUGCCGGCGAGCACCACGUCAUGGUUCUUGAACAUUUCCCGAGCCACCUCGCUUGAUGAGAUUACCACGGUGGUCAUUGAGCCUAUGGAUAUAGUGAUGAUGGGGCCAUAUUUACGACCCAAUUUGGCAAAUGACUCGUGGGGUACUGCCCAACCAAAUUGAAAAAUGUUUCCGAUCACCGGCCACCUCCUUGGUCCGGGUGGCAACUGUCGUACAUCUGUAAGGCGAGGUCUAGUCACUGUGGUCCAUACAACCCAUAGGAGUAAAGCUAUAAUCAGUGUCACCAGUACGGCUUCCAUAUUCUCCCGUACGUCUUUAAUUUUGAUUCGGACAGUAAAAAUGAAAACAGAUCAAAUGUUAAUCUUUGUAUUUUCAAAAUUAGAAAUACAAUUUAAAAAUUUAGACUGAAAUAAAUAUUGUGAUUAAUAGUUUUUAUUAUAAAUUAUACAAUUAUAAUAAUUAUAUUAACUAAAAUUAAAUAAAUUUAUAUCAAUUUGAAAUUUAAUAUAUCGCCGCCAUUAAUUUGACCACAAAAGUCAAAUUGUAUCUUUAAUAUUUAAUUUUAAAAUGAAUGGAGUAUUAUGUAUAAAAGUAAAGCGAGAAAUGUAAAAAUUGUAUGUGCAAUAUACAAGAAAAAUAAACUUUACUAGCCAUAAAUCAUCAAAGAUUAUAGCAGUAUGAAUCUAAUGCAGCAUCAGCACAAUUGAAUUUAGGCAACAAAGUGCAAGGAAUUAUAGUAUAGAUAUAAUAUAAUAAAUAUAUAUUUAUAAUAAACAUAUAUUUAUUAUAUUAUAUCUAUAAUAAAUUUAAAAUAAUGUCAAACUCAAAAUUGAUAUAAAUUAUAAUUUUAGACUAUACAGUUUUGAAAAUGAUAAACUAUCCAUAUAUAAGUAAUAAUAAUUAAAAGAUUUAUUGCUUUUAAUAUUUAGUUGAAUGAAUCACUUCCAUUUUGAUUUAAAAAUAUCUUAAAUCAAUUUUAAAAAAUCAAACUUAAUCAAUCUUAUAUUUUGAAACAGGAGGAAUAUACAUGCAACUAUGUAUUAUUGAUCAAGUAAAGGAAGCUUUCAAAGAGGUUGAUCGCUUGCCUAAUUUACAAUUACACUGGUUUUGCAACGUGAAGUCGUGAAGAGCCAUCGCCAUAAACAAAUAUUUAAACAUAGAAAUUCAAUUGUUUUAACCAAAAAGUAAUUUGAUAAAGAACCUGAAAGUAUAAUUAAACUAACUAGUAGUUAAUUAGUUGAUAAUUGCAUUGCCUUUUUGAGAACUGAUCUAAUGAAUCUUGGUGUUUGUUUACCUGCAGUGGGGUAAGGCAAGGCC